GGCGAAGCGGAAGGCAGCGCCUCUUGGUCUUUCUCCGAGGAGGUGGCUCUCAAAGCUCAGGGAGGCCAGGACCCGGUGGAUGCGGGAUUCACAGCCAUCUCCUGUCUCCCUUUGGAGUGCCAGGGCUCGGACGGACCCCAGAGAGCCUGGCAUCAGAGCUCACGGAACAUUUCUUUCCGAGGCAGGGAGCCAUCAGAUCUGCACUCUGAGGCUGAGCUGGUGUCCACGCUUACACCUGCUGCAGUGUCUGCUGUACUCUCAGCUGGGGUCGAGAAUGAUACUCGGGGACAGCGCUAUACCAGAGCACAUGAGGAGAGCCCAGCAUAGCUGAGAUCUGUACCAAGCCUCCAAGCGCUUUGCAGAGCCCAGCCUCGUAAGCUAAAGGGUAGGUGACCUCACGAC
Molecule: long non-coding RNA, 402 nt
Filed under: Fukomys damarensis (Damara mole-rat)
Lineage: Eukaryota; Metazoa; Chordata; Mammalia; Rodentia; Bathyergidae
Description: lncRNA (ENSFDAG00000028803.1)
Source: RNAcentral